RNAcentral lists this ribosomal RNA (253 nucleotides) under uncultured bacterium. RNAcentral describes it as "partial 16S ribosomal RNA". It matches the Rfam family "Bacterial small subunit ribosomal RNA", at positions 524 to 776 of the family's 1533-position model. The record is from RNAcentral.
UACGUAGGGGGCAAGCGUUGUCCGGAUUUAUUGGGCGUAAAGAGCGUGUAGGCGGCCUGAAAGGUCAGCUGUGAAAACUCGAGGCUCAACCUCGAGACGUCGGUUGAAACCAUCUGGCUAGAGUCCGGAAGAGGAGUGUGGAGUUCCCGGUGUAGCGGUGAAAUGCGCAGAUAUCGGGAAGAACACCCGUGGCGAAGGCGGCACUCUGGGACGGUACUGACGCUGAGACGCGAAAGCGUGGGGAGCGAACAGG